CGGCAGAAGUAGCUCUUGCCUUGCUUCGAGUCGUGAUGCCCAAAGUGACACCACUUACGAUGAGGACGCUCUUGUUCUUUACGCCAAUUACGGGAACAGUUUGAGCCUUCCUUGAUGCCAUUAAUUUUGGAAGUGUGCUUUGAAUUUCUUGAACUGAGAAAGAGAUGAGAGGUAGAGAUAGUCCCACUGGGCGUGCCAAAUUUGUAAACACGAAAUUUUCCUGAAACGAAAGAGACAAGAACCACGUGCACAAAAUAAUAUUUGUAUUUGAUGAUUUUGGGUUACAAUCUCUCAUAAAUUUGAUCAUCUGAUUCGAUCUCCGUAAGGUGUUGAUUUGUGGAUGUGUGAUUGAUCCAAAUGGUCGUUGGGCUUGAUCUAAGGAUGAACGUUCUUCAAGGGCUGUGGGCUUGAUCUUUGAAGGUGGAUUUGAGCGGAUCUUCAAGGAGCCGUUGGGGCUUGAUCUUGAGGAUGAGUGUUUCUUCAAAGGCCGUUGAGGCUUGAUCUUGAAUAACGGUGAUGAACGGAUCUUCAAGGGCUUUUGGGCUUGAUCUUGAAGAACAAUGAUGAACGGAUCUUCAAGAGCUUUUGGGCUUGAUCUUGAAGAACGGUUGGAUGUAUGGAUUUGUCAACGUUGUUGAUCCAAAGGGCCGUUGGGGCUUAAUCUUAGGAUGAACGGAUGAUGAACGAUGAAUACUUUCUUCAAGAGCCGUCGGGGAUUGAUCUUGAAUUGGUGGAAGUUCUUCAAAUGGCCGUCGGGGCUUGAUCUUGAAGGUGGAUGAUUGUUGAUCCAAGGACCGUCGGGGCUUGAUCUUGGAAGAACGAUGAACGAAGAACGAAAAUGGCUUUCUUGAUUCUUCGGGAACCUAGAUGCUUGAGAGCUUCGGAGUUUUAGAGUUUCAGAGCUUCAAGGUUUUGGUGUAAUAUGAAUUGGUGAAAUGAAAUGAAUGAAAUUGGCUUCUAUUUAUAGAAUUUUCCAAGGCCUAAUUUUGAAUAUAAUAUCCCAGAUGAAAUAAGUUGUUUCUGCCAGGUGUUGACACGUGUCCUGUUUGAUGACUUUUCCAACUUAUUUCGAAUUUUUGUUUAGACACACGCUACGUGUAAAAUUUAUGUAAUACAUGAGCGUUGAAACUUUGAUUUAUCGGUCAACAUUUAUUUACCGAAAUUUCGAUGUCUACACUCAUGUUGUUGAAGUGACUAAAUUAAUUUCUAGUUGCCAUAAUUGAAAUUGUUUUGUGUUUGUGUUAAUUUGAUGUUUCUCAUGCUUAUCACACCUACAAAUCCGUCAAUAUGGUUGAAUUAUUGGUCAUGCUGACCUUGCUUUUUCUUUUGAGUUUUCAGAGCAUCUCCACCAGUUGGUGGAAGGCAAGAGCAACAAUGUUGCUCUCAAACCCAAAAAACACCUCCAACAAUCCAAAUAAGCAAGGGCAAGUGGUGUGCCAACCACUACCAGCCCAAGUGCCCUUAAGCACAACCUACUAUCUUUGAGCAAGCUGACGUCAACGCCUUUUUUAUUUUAUUUUUGUUAGGCAUGUAUAACACACACAUUACUGAGGGAGAGUGGCCGAUAUGGCUGCAGCGGUGGGCUCUGCUGUAGUAGUGCAGUCAGAUAUUUCCAACUGUAGGUACAUGUGGCUCCAUUUAAAGCCGUUGGUUUUCCAACGGUAAAAAAAUUAUAAAUAUUAGUUUUGCGCCACGUGGCGCUAUUUGAUGCGUCUGG
This 1717-nucleotide long non-coding RNA is filed under the name Malus domestica (apple). RNAcentral's name for it is "long non-coding RNA (MDOM_LNC017609)". The record is from RNAcentral. Lineage: Eukaryota; Viridiplantae; Streptophyta; Magnoliopsida; Rosales; Rosaceae.